AUGGUUAUAUUGGGAAAAGGUGAAACUUUGCUUUCCUUUGGAAGUUUAGUUACAGCAGGAGCGUGCAUUCUAUAUAUUGAAAAGUUUAAAUACCCACCACUACAAUAUCUUCAUAAGAAUCUUUUUUCUACCGUUAGCACAAAGAAGAUGCUUCUGGCCUACUACAUGAACUCGUUCUUGCCGACUUUAUCCUCUGUUUAUUUGCUCCGCGAGGUUCUUUGUUGGUUCGUGGGACUUCUGUCGUUAACCAACAAGGCGUUGUUAUCAUUACUUCUUCUCCCUUCGCUGGCUCGUCAUCUGCUUGCUAUCAAGCAGGAUUGA
RNAcentral lists this ribosomal RNA (321 nucleotides) under Triticum aestivum (bread wheat). RNAcentral describes it as "partial small subunit ribosomal RNA". The record is from RNAcentral. Lineage: Eukaryota; Viridiplantae; Streptophyta; Magnoliopsida; Poales; Poaceae.